RNAcentral lists this ribosomal RNA (433 nucleotides) under uncultured bacterium. RNAcentral describes it as "partial 16S ribosomal RNA". It matches the Rfam family "Bacterial small subunit ribosomal RNA", at positions 29 to 507 of the family's 1533-position model. The record is from RNAcentral.
AACGAACGCUGGCGGCAUGCCUAACACAUGCAAGUCGAACGAGACCUCCGGGUCUAGUGGCGCACGGGUGCGUAACGCGUGGGAACCUGCCCUUAGGUUCGGAAUAACUCCCCGUAAGGGGUGCUAAUACCGGAUAAUGUCUUCGGACCAAAGAUUUAUCGCCUUUGGAGGGGCCGGCGUUGGAUUAGCUAGUUGGUAGGGUAAAAGCCUACCAAGGCGACGAUCCAUAGCUGGUCUGAGAGGAUGAUCAGCCACACUGGGACUGGGACACGGCCCAGACUCCUACGGGAGGCAGCAGUGGGGAAUAUAGGACAAUGGGCGAAAGCCUGAUCCAGCAAGGCGGCGUGAGUGAUGAAGUCCUUAGGGUUGUAAGGCUCUUUUACCCGGGAUGAUAAUGACAGUACCGGGAGAAUAAGCUCCGGCUAACUCCGUG